GUCGAACGGACUCAUAUUGAAACCUAGUGAUUUAUGAGUUAGUGGCGGACGGGUGAGUAACGCGUGGAUAACCUGCCGUAUACCGGGGGAUAACACUUAGAAAUAGGUGCUAAUACCGCAUAAGCGCACGGCUCCGCAUGGGGCAGUGUGAAAAACUCCGGUGGUAUACGAUGGAUCCGCGUCUGAUUAGCUAGUUGGCGGGGUAACGGCCCACCAAGGCAGCGAUCAGUAGCCGGCCUGAGAGGGUGGACGGCCACAUUGGGACUGAGACACGGCCCAAACUCCUACGGGAGGCAGCAGUGGGGAAUAUUGCACAAUGGGGGAAACCCUGAUGCAGCGACGCCGCGUGAGUGAAGAAGUAUCUCGGUACGUAAAGCUCUAUCAGCAGGGAAGAAAAUGACGGUACCUGACUAAGAAGCCCCGGCUAACUACGUGCCAGCAGCCGCGGUAAUACGUAGGGGGCAAGCGUUAUCCGGAUUUACUGGGUGUAAAGGGAGCGUAGACGGCAGCACAAGUCUGGAGUGAAAUCCCGGGGCUUAACCCCGGAACUGCUUUGGAAACUGUGCGGCUGGAGUGCAGGAGGGGUAAGCGGAAUUCCUAGUGUAGCGGUGAAAUGCGUAGAUAUUAGGAGGAGCACCGGUGGCGAAGGCGGCUUACUGGACUGUAACUGACGUUGAGG
This 679-nucleotide ribosomal RNA is filed under the name uncultured bacterium. RNAcentral's name for it is "bacterial SSU rRNA". It matches the Rfam family "Bacterial small subunit ribosomal RNA", at positions 61 to 751 of the family's 1533-position model. The record is from RNAcentral.